AGUGAACGCUGGCGGCAGGCUUAACACAUGCAAGUCGAACGGCAGCACAGUAAGAGCUUGCUCUUACGGGUGGCGAGUGGCGGACGGGUGACGAAUACAUCGGAAUCUACUUUUUCGUGGGGGAUAACGUAGGGAAACUUACGCUAAUACCGCAUACGACCUACGGGUGAAAGCAGGGGAUCUUCGGACCUUGCGCGAUUGAAUGAGCCGAUGUCGGAGUAGCUAGUUGGCGGGGUAAAGGCCCACCAAGGCGACGAUCCGUAGCUGGUCUGAGAGGAUGGUCAGCCACACUGGAGCUGAGACGCGGUCCAGGCGCCUACGGGAGGCAGCAGUGGGGAAUGUUAGGCAAUGGGCGCGAGCCUUGUCCAGCCGUACCGCGUGUGUGAAGGAGGCGUUCGGGUUGUAAAGCCCUUUUGUUGGGAAAGAAAAGCAGCAGGUUGAUACCCCGCUGUUCUGACGGCACCCAAAGAAUAAGCACCGGCUAACUACGUG
Molecule: ribosomal RNA, 492 nt
Filed under: uncultured bacterium
Lineage: Bacteria
Description: partial 16S ribosomal RNA
Rfam family: Bacterial small subunit ribosomal RNA
Source: RNAcentral